AUUGAUGACUAGCAGUCAGACAGUGUGAGAUAAGUUUCAUUGUCAAAAGGGAAACAGCCCAGACCUACAGCUAAGGUCCCAAAUGUAUGCUAAGUGGAAAACGAUGUGGGAUUGCGAAAACAACCAGGAUGUUGGCUCAGAAGCAGCCAUACAUUAAAAGAGUGCGUAAUAGCUCACUGGUCGAGUGGUCCUGCGCGGAAAAUGUAACGGGGCUAAGCAUACAACCGAAGCUUAGGAUUGUCUAAAGACAGUGGUAGGGGAGCGUUCUGUAUGGGGUGAAGUCGCAGCGAGAGCAGCGGUGGACUGUACAGAAGUGAGAAUGCCGGAAUGAGUAGCGAGAAUUAUGUGGGAAUCAUAAUGGCCGAAAAUCUAAGGUUUCUUGGGGAAGGUUCGUCCGCCCAAGGUAAGUCGGGAGCUAAGCUCAGGCCGCGAGGCGUAGGCGAUGCACAUACGGUAGAAAUUCCGUAACCACCGAACUUUAAGCAUGAGGGACACUUUGAGAUAGCGGAACCCGGGCGUUGGUUGACCCGGGCGAAAGGGACCGAAAUAUAGUAGGGAAGUCCGCGAUGCUCGGAGGCGAGAAAAGCUCAUGUGUAUACUAAGGUGCCCGUACCGCAAACCGACACAGGUAGAUGAGGAGAGAAUCCUAAGGCCAACGGGAGAAGGGUUGUUAAGGAACUCGGCAAAUUGACCCCGUAACUUCGGAAGAAGGGGAGCCUCGAAAGAGGCCGCAGUGAAUAGGCCCAAGCAACUGUUUACCAAAAACACAGGUCUAUGCUAAAUCGAAAGAUGACGUAUAUGGGCUGACGCCUGCCCGGUGCCGGAAGGUUAAGAGGAGAGCUUAGCGCAAGCGAAGGUUUGAAUUGAAGCCCCGGUAAACGGCGGCCGUAACUAUAACGGUCCUAAGGUAGCGAAAUUCCUUGUCAGGUAAGUUCUGACCCGCACGAAUGGCGUAAUGAUUUGAGCACUGUCUCGACAAUGCAUCCGGUGAAAUUGAAGUACCAGUGAAGAUGCUGGUUACCUGCGCCAGGACGGAAAGACCCCAUGGAGCUUUACUCCAGCUUGAUACUGGGAUUCGAUACUGUAUGUACAGGAUAGGUGGGAGACGUUGAUCGUAUGACGCCAGUUGUACGUGAGUCGCUGUUGGGAUACCACCCUUGCAGUAUUGGAUUUCUAACCUGCAGCCAUGACCUGGCUGGGGGACAAUGUCUGGCGGGGAGUUUGACUGGGGCGGUCGCCUCCGAAAGGGUAUCGGAGGCGCUCAAAGGUUCCCUCAGAAUGGUUGGAAAC
RNAcentral lists this ribosomal RNA (1290 nucleotides) under human gut metagenome. Its description in RNAcentral is "bacterial LSU rRNA". It matches the Rfam family "Bacterial large subunit ribosomal RNA", at positions 969 to 2338 of the family's 2925-position model. The record is from RNAcentral.